CAUAGGUUAAUGAGGCGAACCGGGGGAACUGAAACAUCUAAGUACCCCGAGGAAAAGAAAUCAACCGAGAUUCCCCCAGUAGCGGCGAGCGAACGGGGAGCAGCCCAGAGCCUGAAUCAGUGUGUGUGUUAGUGGAAGCGUCUGGAAAGGCGCGCGAUACAGGGUGACAGCCCCGUACACAAAAAUGCACAUACUGUGAGCUCGAUGAGUAGGGCGGGACACGUGGUAUCCUGUCUGAAUAUGGGGGGACCAUCCUCCAAGGCUAAAUACUCCUGACUGACCGAUAGUGAACCAGUACCGUGAGGGAAAGGCGAAAAGAACCCCGGCGAGGGGAGUGAAAAAGAACCUGAAACCGUGUACGUACAAGCAGUGGGAGCACGCUUAGGCGUGUGACUGCGUACCUUUUGUAUAAUGGGUCAGCGACUUAUAUUCUGUAGCAAGGUUAACCGAAUAGGGGAGCCGAAGGGAAACCGAGUCUUAACUGGGCGUUAAGUUGCAGGGUAUAGACCCGAAACCCGGUGAUCUAGCCAUGGGCAGGUUGAAGGUUGGGUAACACUAACUGGAGGACCGAACCGACUAAUGUUGAAAAAUUAGCGGAUGACUUGUGGCUGGGGGUGAAAGGCCAAUCAAACCGGGAGAUAGCUGGUUCUCCCCGAAAGCUAUUUAGGUAGCGCCUCGUGAAUUCAUCUCCGGGGGUAGAGCACUGUUUCGGCAAGGGGGUCAUCCCGACUUACCAACCCGAUGCAAACUGCGAAUACCGGAGAAUGUUAUCACGGGAGACACACGGCGGGUGCUAACGUCCGUCGUGAAGAGGGAAACAACCCAGACCGCCAGCUAAGGUCCCAAAGUCAUGGUUAAGUGGGAAACGAUGUGGGAAGGCCCAGACAGCCAGGAUGUUGGCUUAGAAGCAGCCAUCAUUUAAAGAAAGCGUAAUAGCUCACUGGUCGAGU
This 950-nucleotide ribosomal RNA is filed under the name Escherichia coli. Its description in RNAcentral is "partial 23S ribosomal RNA". It matches the Rfam family "Bacterial large subunit ribosomal RNA", at positions 165 to 1154 of the family's 2925-position model. Lineage: Bacteria; Pseudomonadati; Pseudomonadota; Gammaproteobacteria; Enterobacterales; Enterobacteriaceae. The record is from RNAcentral.